Molecule: ribosomal RNA, 253 nt
Filed under: uncultured bacterium
Lineage: Bacteria
Description: partial 16S ribosomal RNA
Rfam family: Bacterial small subunit ribosomal RNA
Source: RNAcentral
UACGUAGGGUGCGAGCGUUGUCCGGAAUUAUUGGGCGUAAAGAGCUCGUAGGCGGUCUGUCGCGUCGGAUGUGAAAGCCCGGGGCUUAACUCCGGGUCUGCAUUCGAUACGGGCAGACUAGAGUGCGGUAGGGGAGACUGGAAUUCCUGGUGUAGCGGUGAAAUGCGCAGAUAUCAGGAGGAACACCGGUGGCGAAGGCGGGUCUCUGGGCCGUAACUGACGCUGAGGAGCGAAAGCGUGGGGAGCGAACAGG